This is a long non-coding RNA of Panicum virgatum (switchgrass), 444 nucleotides long. RefSeq lists it as uncharacterized. The record is from RefSeq and is a predicted model, not a curated record. The transcript is spliced from 3 exons. Lineage: Eukaryota; Viridiplantae; Streptophyta; Magnoliopsida; Poales; Poaceae.
AGCGGAUUGGCUGGUGAUGAUGCCAUGGAGUCGGAGGAAAUGCUCGCGAUGCUGUACAGUAUGGCAAUCAUGAGGCAUUUGAUUGGUUGAAGUGUAUUUACUGGGAUCGCCAGACUAAUUCCAUUCCUGAUGUUCAAGUGGAACUGAGGUCGAGAUUGCAUGAGAUUUCUUCCUUUUCUGAAGGAGAAUGAUUCAAAAGAAUCAAAAUUAGGUUCCAAAAGGAAACGGUCUGAGAAACUGAUUAUCAAAGCCAUAAAGUACACUCGACGGCUAUACUAUGCUUGUCCCUUUGAGGUUGUUUCUAUUCUACUGGAUCAUAUGCAACUGGAUGCUCCAGAGUCCCCUGAAAGCAGUGACAUUCAAGAAAUUCAUAGUUUGGGUGUUUAUCAGUCAUCUGACACUCAAAUAUCAAAAAGUGAUAUGAAAACUAUCACUGGUUCCUCA